GAGAAUUGCCCUUGCCACACUGAAUUAACAUUGAUGAUGGCAUAUCAAAGCCGGAAAUGGUGUGCGAGAUGAUACUUCACUAUGCAGAAAUGUCUGUACAACAUUUCAUGUAUAAAGCGUGAUAAAGUCGUAACUUGAAUACCUAAGUUCAUGAAAAUGAAUAUGGGAUAAAUAGUGCGGUCUUCCGAAAA
Mogibacterium sp. CM50 is the source of this 191-nucleotide non-coding RNA. NCBI's taxonomy places the organism in Bacteria, Bacillati, Bacillota, Clostridia, Peptostreptococcales, Anaerovoracaceae. The record is from Rfam.